Molecule: ribosomal RNA, 1434 nt
Filed under: metagenome
Description: bacterial SSU rRNA
Rfam family: Bacterial small subunit ribosomal RNA
Source: RNAcentral
AGAGUUUGAUCCUGGCUCAGAACGAACGCUGGCGGCAGGCCUCAUACAUGCAAGUCGCACGAUUAAAGCUCUCUUCGGAGAGUGUAUAAAGUGGCAAACGGGUGAGUAACAGGUGGAUAAUCUGCCCUUUGGCGGGGGAUAACGGUUGGAAACGACCGCUAGUACCGCAUGUGAUUGCUUUUUCAUCGGGAGAAGCAAGGAAAGGCGCUUCACGGCGCCGCCAAAGGAUGAGUCCGCCCCCCGUUGCUAGUUGGUAAGGUAACGGCUUACCUAGGCUCCGAUGGGUAGCCGAGCUGAGAGGUUGAUCGGCCACACUGGGACUGAGAUACGGCCCAGACACCUACGGGUGGCAGCAGUAGGGAAUAUUGCGCAAUGGACGAAAGUCUGACGCAGCCAUGCCGCGUGAGUGAUGAAGGCCUUCGGGUCGUAAAGCUCUUUUCUGAGGGAAGAACAUCCAGAACAGGAAAUGGUUCUGGCUUGACGGUACCUCAGGAAUAAGGAGCGGCUAACUCCGUGCCAGCAGCCGCGGUAAUACGGAGGCUCCUAGCGUUGUUCGGAAUUACUGGGCGUAAAGGGAGCGCAGGCGGAGUGAUCAGUCUGAAGUGGAAGUCCGGGGCUCAACCUCGGAAGUGCUUCGGAUACUGUCACUCUUGAGAUCGUGAGAGGAAAGCGGAAUUCAGGGUGUAGCGGUGAAAUGCUUAGAUAUCCUGAGGAACACCAAUGGCGAAAGCAGCUUUCUGGCACUGAUCUGACGCUGAGGCUCGAAAGCGUGGGUAGCGAACGGGAUUAGAUACCCCGGUAGUCCACGCCGUAAACGUUGUCAACUAGGUGCGAGAGGUAUCGACCCCUUUCGUGCCGCAGCUAACGCAUUAAGUUGACCGCCUGGGGAGUACGCGCGCAAGCGUGAAACUCAAAGGAAUUGACGGGGGCCCGCACAAGCGGUGGAGCAUGUGGUUUAAUUCGAGGCAACGCGAAGAACCUUACCCAGGCUUGACAUCCCGUGACCGCCAUGGAAACAUGGUUUUCUCUUCGGAGACACGGUGACAGGUGUUGCAUGGCUGUCGUCAGCUCGUGUCGUGAGAUGUUGGGUUAAGUCCCGCAACGAGCGCAACCCCUGUCCUUAGUUACCAGCACGUUAUGGUGGGCACUCUAAGGAGACUGCCGGUGAUAAGCCGGAGGAAGGUGGGGACGACGUCAAGUCAUCAUGGCCCUUACGCCUGGGGCCACACACGUGCUACAAUGGCCGGUACAAUGAGUUGCAAUACCGCGAGGUGGAGCGAAUCUCAAAAAGCCGGUCUCAGUUCGGAUAGGAGUCUGCAAUUCGACUCCUUGAAGUCGGAAUCGCUAGUAAUCGCGUAUCAGCUACGACGCGGUGAAUACGUUCCCGGGCCUUGUACACACCGCCCGUCACAUGACCCGAGUCGGGUGCACCCG